This 252-nucleotide ribosomal RNA is filed under the name uncultured bacterium. Its description in RNAcentral is "partial 16S ribosomal RNA". It matches the Rfam family "Bacterial small subunit ribosomal RNA", at positions 524 to 776 of the family's 1533-position model. The record is from RNAcentral.
UACGGAGGAUGCGAGAGUUAUCCGGAUUUAUUGGGUUUAAAGGGUGCGUAGGCGGGAUGCCAAGUCAGCGGUAAAAAUGCGGUGCUCAACGCCGUCGAGCCGUUGAAACUGGCGUUCUUGAGUGGGCGAGAAGUAUGCGGAAUGCGUGGUGUAGCGGUGAAAUGCAUAGAUAUCACGCAGAACUCCGAUUGCGAAGGCAGCAUACCGGCGCCCUACUGACGCUGAGGCACGAAAGCGUGGGUAUCGAACAGG